AUCGUGUUCCUCCAAAUGACCAGUAAUAAGACAUCCACGGUUCUGGAGCUCUUCCUUGAAGCUGCAAAGAAACAUGACAUUGCAUUCAGGAGUGAGAGGGGACCAAGGAGCUGAAAUGUGGACAAUCAAGGCUGUGCCAGAUAGUUUCAUCUCAGAGAAACAUAUCAACAACCUAAGGAAAUAGACAGAGAGUCUAUAUACAUGAUACCAAACCUCUGGUGCAAUAGC
Monopterus albus (swamp eel) is the source of this 228-nucleotide long non-coding RNA. RefSeq lists it as uncharacterized. The transcript is spliced from 3 exons. The record is from RefSeq and is a predicted model, not a curated record. NCBI's taxonomy places the organism in Eukaryota, Metazoa, Chordata, Actinopteri, Synbranchiformes, Synbranchidae.